Non-coding RNA from Corylus avellana, 795 nucleotides. NCBI's taxonomy places the organism in Eukaryota, Viridiplantae, Streptophyta, Magnoliopsida, Fagales, Betulaceae. The record is from RefSeq and is a predicted model, not a curated record.
UUUCCUCUCUUCUUUCUUUUCUCUAUUCUCUCUUACCUUUCUUCUCACGCGCACACACUUGGCCGAGAGAGAGAACGAGCUAGAGAGAGAGAGAGCUGCAGAUUGAGAGAGGAAGAGAUGCAUACCGAGCUAGAGAGAGAAUGAGAUCGAAUGAGAGAGAGAGCUGCUGUCCGAAGAAGAUGAAAGAGGAAGAAAGAAAGAAGAAGAAGAAGAAGAAGAAGAAGGUGAUGGAUUCCGGCCAUGGGGUUUGUGAGUUAAUUGCAGGCAUGUAAUGUGAUAUUAGAGGCUUAGGACUACAUCUAGUCUUCCAAUGUGUGGCAUGGGUAAUCGGAUUGAUGGAGCACUUCGAAAGGAUUACUUGAGUCGUGAGUCAUUUGUAGGCUACAAGUGAGUUCUAUACUGCUGAGCGUCUCUAUUUCAUGGAGAUGGCGGGCUCAUAAUUCCGCCUGUAUCACGGGUGGUGGUGAUUCCCGUGGUGCAGGAGAUGUUGUGAAUGCAGGUACAUAGACAGUAGAUGAGGAUCUUGUAGCCUUGUUUUUGGGCGACGUCGGAGGUCUAGAUGCGUGGGAGGUUUACUUUGUUGGACUAGUUGUUAGUCCUCUUUGUUAGAGCAUUCAAGAACAUGCUUAGAUGUUGGCAUUUGGUAUAUGGCUCGUGUCGCAUGUGACACCUUUGUAUAGCCAUUAUUUUGUAUGUAAGACUUUGUUCACAUAGAUGUAUUAGUCAGCUCUAAUGUGUUAUGUAAGUGUAAUGUUAUUUAUAUUCCGCUGCAAAGAUAUGAACUCUGAUGAAUCA